GACGAACGCUGGCGGCGUGCUUAACACAUGCAAGUCGAACGGAAAGGCCCUGCUUUUGUGGGGUGCUCGAGUGGCGAACGGGUGAGUAACACGUGAGUAACCUGCCCUUCACUUUGGGAUAACUUCAGGAAACUGGGGCUAAUACCGGAUAGGAGCUCCUGCUGCAUGGUGGGGGUUGGAAAGUUUCGGCGGUUGGGGGUGGACUCGCGGCUUAUCAGCUUGUUGGUGGGGUAGUGGAUUACCAAGGCUUUGACAGGUAGCCGGCCUGAGAGGGUAACCAGCCACAUUGGGACUGCGAUGAGGCACAGACUCCUACGGGAGGCAGCAGUGGGGAAUGUGGCACAAUGGGCGGAAGCCUGAUGCAGCAACGCCGCGUGCGGGAAGACGGCCUUCGGGUUGUGAACCGCUUUCGGCUGUGACGAAGCGUGAGUGACGGUACUGGGUAAAGAAGCACCGGCUAACUACGUG
Molecule: ribosomal RNA, 468 nt
Filed under: uncultured bacterium
Lineage: Bacteria
Description: partial 16S ribosomal RNA
Rfam family: Bacterial small subunit ribosomal RNA
Source: RNAcentral